Homo sapiens (human) is the source of this 677-nucleotide long non-coding RNA. Ensembl annotates it as long intergenic non-protein coding RNA 3071. NCBI's taxonomy places the organism in Eukaryota, Metazoa, Chordata, Mammalia, Primates, Hominidae. The record is from Ensembl.
GGAAAGGGUUCACACAUAUAAUCCCAGCACUUUGGGAGGCUGAGGUAGGAAGAUCGCUGGAACCCAGGAGUUCAAGACCAUCCUGGGUAAGAUAACAGCACCUCAGAGAAGAUUUGGAAAAUAAAUGAGCUGAUGAGAGCAAUUUUCUGCUUCCUGGGCCACCACAGUCUUCUUUGCUGUUUUUGAUUGCAACCAUUUUCAGAGAAGAAUCAACACCAAAGAUUACAUGUAUAUAAAUUACCUAGUAACGAGCAUGACCUCUGUCCAAGCAGAAGGCAAGCAGGGGAGAAGAUUUAGCUGCUCAACUACAGUUAUUCUCUCAACCCAAGCUAAGGUAGUUGGUGCCAUACAUUUCCCACAGGACUACUAUUUUCCAAUAUCAACAUCUUUAAUUUAUUUAUUUAUUUUUGUUUUAGUGCACUAGCUGGAAGUUUCGAUAUAAUGUUAAAUACAAAGGAUGAGAGUAAAUAUUCUUACAUUUUUCCUGGUCUUAUGAAGAAAGAAUUUUCUUUCACCAUUAAGUAUUAUGUUGUCUGUAGGUUUUUCACAUAUGUUCAUAGUGGGUUGAAGCACUCUCUUUUUAGUCCUAGCUGAGAGUUUUAGGUUAAGAAUAAGUAUUAUUUAUUAUUAUUAUUAUUUAUUUAUUAUUAUAAAUAAAAUACAUUUAUUACAUUAAA